CCUGAGAAACCCAAAAGAUCGAAUGGGAGAUUUCACGUCAGCGCGCUGGCUUCCGUGCGGUUCGCGAUGGCCGGGACCUCGGUCUCGCGUCACGCGUCCGCUGCGGCAUGUCCGGCUACGUCGGCGUGCACUUCUCCCCUAGUAGGACGUCGCGACCCGUUGGGUGUCGGACCGAUGGCCGUUUGGUCGCCUGUCUCGUCGCGUUCACGCGUGCACUGGGCAGACCGAAAUGGUCGAGCGUCCGGCUGCCCGGCGGUAUAGAACGCUAUUGAACGGUAAUGGGCCGCAUUAAGUGCGUCCAGGCUCGUCGGCAGGCUCGUCUCGCCCGGAUUUACGGACCUAGCGCCGUUGCCGGGUGCUUGGCGUGGCCGUUAGUCGACGAUGUCCUCGGACUGGCUCUAAAAUUCGAAAGGAUUACCGGUCGGCGACGCUACUGCUUUGGGUACUUUCAGGACCCGUC
RNAcentral lists this ribosomal RNA (460 nucleotides) under Ceranisus sp. 3 OD-2009. RNAcentral's name for it is "eukaryotic LSU rRNA". The record is from RNAcentral. Lineage: Eukaryota; Metazoa; Arthropoda; Insecta; Hymenoptera; Eulophidae.